Molecule: ribosomal RNA, 433 nt
Filed under: uncultured bacterium
Lineage: Bacteria
Description: partial 16S ribosomal RNA
Rfam family: Bacterial small subunit ribosomal RNA
Source: RNAcentral
AACGAACGCUGGCGGCAUGCCUAACACAUGCAAGUCGAACGAGACCUUCGGGGCUAGUGGCGCACGGGUGCGUAACGCGUGGGAACCUGCCCUUAGGUUCGGAAUAACUCCCCGAAAGGGGUGCUAAUACCGGAUAAUGUCUUCGGACCAAAGAUUUAUCGCCUUUGGAUGUGCCCGCGUUGGAUUAGCUAGUUGGUAGGGUAAAAGCCUACCAAGGCGACGAUCCAUAGCUGGUCUGAGAGGAUGAUCAGCCACACUGGGACUGAGACACGGCCCAGACUCCUACGGGAGGCAGCAGUGGGGAAUAUUGGACAAUGGGCGAAAGCCUGAUCAAGCAAUGCCGCGUGAGUGAUGAAGGCCUUAGGGUUGUAAAGCUCUUUUACCCGGGAUGAUAAUGACAGUACCGGGAGAAUAAGCUCCGGCUAACUACGUG